RNAcentral lists this transfer-messenger RNA (352 nucleotides) under Alphaproteobacteria bacterium. It matches the Rfam family "Alphaproteobacteria transfer-messenger RNA". From Rfam's summary of the family: Bacterial tmRNA, also known as 10Sa RNA or SsrA, is named for its dual tRNA and mRNA-like properties. Its role is to liberate the mRNA from a stalled ribosome. To accomplish this part of the tmRNA is used as a reading frame that ends in a translation stop signal. Lineage: Bacteria; Pseudomonadati; Pseudomonadota; Alphaproteobacteria. The record is from RNAcentral.
CCCCUUUUACCGGGCCUCGAUUGCGCCUAUAUUCGGAGGUGCCGGGCAACCGGCUAUGGCAGUAAACGGCACGUGCAAUAGGCACGGCGGACCCGGGGGCAGUACCCGGCGCCUCCACCAGAAGGGCUCGCGCAGCGGGCGGGAGCCUUUCUCAUGGGGGCGAACCAGGAUCGACGCGUGCUGAAAGACGUUGCCUUCUGCCCGGCAUGGUACCGCCGUAACGGACCACCCUUACAAAUGCCAAUGACAAUGAGGCAUUUGCUCUUGCCGCGUAAUCACGGCCUCACGGCCAAGGUUACAAGGUAACGGGCACGGUUUUCAGGGGUGCACCGGGUAACAGAAGCAUUCCCGC